GAAGGAGUGGAUGCCGAUUUGCCAUAUCCUUCAUACUGAUAUUAAUUAUUUUAUUACAUGUUUUCUUGUUUGACUAUUAAUCAAGUUAUAGCAAGAGUGAAAUGUGUAACCUUAUGUGUGCUGUAUUUCUUUUCCUCAAGAUUAAUGUCCACAUAUUAUGUGUGUGUAUCCAACCGUAAUGAUAAGACACUCGCCAGUGCUAGAAAGCCUUGAAUUUUAGAUAAGUUCUCUGUGUACGUGUGUUAGUAUCUGUCUGUACAGGGAGAAGCUCAGACAGUCCCAGGACAAACGAUCAACUGCCAGUGUCCAGCAUAUCAGAUAUACGUCUUUGGAGAGUUUUAUCUAGGUUUUGGAACCAAUCAGAAUUUUGUUGACUCAUGUAUUGACGCAAUUAGUAUCCUCUGUCAGGAUAUAACUGUGGUUGAUUUUGUAUUGUACUGGGGGCGGCCUGCGAACUCCUUCGAGAGUGUUGAAGCUGACUUCUGCUGAUGAAAUUGCAAACUAUUUUCUUCAAUUAAUGGUGGAGGAUCGGCGGGCAAUAGUUCUUUGUUGACAUCCCUGAUCAAUCAUCAAACCAAGGUAGGAAAGAUUUUAGAUUUAAUAUUAUUGGUUAGGGACUGUCUGUAAGUGGAGGGGGUCGAGAGAAGGAGGAACGAUAGACUCACUCAGACGUGAGGGGGUAGACACCAGCUCCAGGGUGGAGUAAGGUAAAUUGGUGUCACAAUAUACCUGUAAAUAAGUAACCUUGUGAGUAUAAGGGGUACAAGUACACAUCGGUAGGUCUUGAUAUAAGAUAUUUAGAGAUGUGUACAGUUACAGAGGGAACAGGUGCACACCUAUAGGUCUUAGAGAGAGACGUAAAAAUUUGUUUCUAGGUGUGCACAGUCCAGGGGGGGACAAAAACGCAUUCUUAACAGGCAUGUGAACCCGUAAAGGGCAGUGCUGGGUCAAGCACCGAGGGACAAAGGACACAUAAGGGCGUAAAUAGGCAGUGCUGGGUCAAGCACAGAGAGCCAAAAAGCACGAGAGGCCAUAAAGGGCAGUGCAUUUACGGCCGGGUAAGCCAAAGUAGGGGUAUGGGAAAUCCCGAGAAGAAUGUAAGACGCUAGACGGGGGUUCUAGUCGUAUCUCGCUCUUCCAACUCUCGAUCACCCACCAUUACAGACAGGGGCGCCCCGAGCUUAGAAAUAGGCCAGGUCAGUGGUUAGGGAACAGAGUAUCCAAAAUUAGUGUUUAAAAAUAAAUAUUGAUAAUUCAUAUGUGCACCUAUAAAAAUAUAGGGAUAUAUGCAAAGGGAAAGUAUUGAUUGAUCUGGGAUGCCUCAGGAACAACCCCAAAAGAGCUAAAAUGUAGUUUUCAUGACCCUGAUUGGAUUGGACCAGUAUAUGGAAAUUCUGGAAUAUACUUUGCAAUUUCAUCACGCAGAAGUCAAGUGCUGUUGGUAAGAUCGCCGCCUCAAUAUGUUUUUGGUUUAUGAUAGAAAUAUGACUGACAAAUUAGGUAACCUGGUCAGCCCUGAUAGAAAUAAUGAAACAAGAGAGCAAAUGCUGUAAACAGUUUGGCUCUGAAGCUCUGACUUUAAAAAAAAAUAUAUAUAUUCUCUGAAUUCAUUUAAAGAAUGAUCAGUCUGAGCUUUAAUUCUGAUUGUAAUGUUAAAACAAAAACUUGAUUGGCUUUAAACUUAGAAAGAACCUGAGAAAUAAACAUUUAUAAAUGUAUGUGCCGAUUUAUUAAAAAUAAUCCCAUAAGUAACUGAGUGAUGAUUUAAUCUGAUUCUCUGUGCAUAGAAGGUUUAAAUGACAAAGAAUGAUAUCAUAAGACCUGUUCCAGUUCCUAUAUAAUUGUUGAAAGUCCUGACAAGGAAUACUGAACAGAAUUCUGGGUUAGUGAAAAAAAAAAACUGUAGGCACACAAAUUGGCAGUGGCAUUUUGGAAAAACUUAGAAGCUUAUGUUUUGUUAAAAAAAAGAUAAAAUUACUUUGACUACAAUGAAGCCGUUGUUUUAUCUCAUGCUGGCCCCCACCAUGACUCUGGCUUAAGCAGUAAAAAUACCAGAGACAUGUUCUGAGUAAAAAAAAAAAAAUGUAAUUUCUAUAUUUACUAAUGUUUGGCCAAAAGAGUAAUUUUAUUGUUGGAUUGCAAAAUUGUAGUCACGCAGCAUCAUAAAAAAAGAAAAAAGAAGAGAAAAGAAAAUUAUUUUUUGUUUAUGAGAUGAUAAAGUUGUAAACAAGUAGCAUAAACGGGGGUUUCAAAGUAACUUUGAAGACAGCAUGCUAGCAAGACCCAAAGUAAUAUACCUGGGUCAGAUAACCUCUGACAGAUUUAAAACCAAUGUUGAAAUUCAGAAGCCAUGGCCAGAAUUAAGUGAAUGGAUAAAUACAAGUUGAUGUAAAAGUAAUGACAAUGACUGCAAAGAACUUUGAGAAACAUUUGAGUUGCGAAAAUAAAGUAAAAAUACAAAUAUAAAGAUGUUUAUUUUUAAAAUGCAUAUAAUUUCUGACAAGUUUUAAACUGGGCUAGAGUAAAAUGAUAGUACGAUGAAAUUAUGUUAAAAAUGAAUGAAAAUGCAUUGUUACGAGUCCUGAAUCCCUCAGAGUUCUCUCUCUCUCUCAUUCAAAGUAAGCUAAAAUGCCGUUAUCUGAGCUUGUGUUUAAGUGAUAAGAUAUUUAUAGUACAGCACAGUGUUUCAGUCAAAUCAUAGGCAGAGAUGCUAAAGGACAUGAUAAAAAGAGUUCAGAUUUAAUGCAUUAAGAGGGCAAUUGGUAGUUAAAUGUUCAACUGCCCAAUGCAUGUAAGAAAUAAGAGAUUAUAAAAAUAAUGAAUAACAGUUUAGGAGCAAUUGUUGAAGAGACAUGAGGGCUUUAAAAUCAUAAUACAGACCCUGAGCUAUAGAUGUAAUAAUUUUGAAUAGUUAAACAGUUGUAUUGCUAUUUGUUCUAUGACCAGUAACUUAUCUGUCUUAUUUUUAGUCUCCACCAUCAUACAGGGCCUGAUGGCUGCAGCUACAGAAGCAACAGAAAAUUACAAUGAAUGGAUGGGUGUGAAAAAUAAAUUCACUGAGUAAUCUCAGCAUGAUAGUUUGGAGGUAUCCAAUUGAGUUUAGCGAUUAAAUAUUAGUUUGAUUAACCUUUUUCAAUGUUUUAACACUAGUAGGUGCUGUCAAUGGCUCUCAUGGUUCUUGAGUGCACCUUUCCUAAGCUGCAGGAAAUACUGGAUUCUGGAAGAAGACUGUCGAGGAUGUUGCAACGGGAAAAAGUGGUUACCAGUGUGCAUGAGGUGAUUUCUCAAUGACGGGUAAGAUCCUCUUCUGGCCAAUAGGGGACAACCUAAGGCAGGGGGUCACCGCCACUGGGCACCUGCCCUGAAGGGAGGUGUUAUAUGUGAGAUGGUAGUGGAGUUGAGCGGAUGCUUGAUAGGCCUAGAGCAUCAUUAAGAGGGGAACUGUAUGAAGUACAGCAAUCUGCCUCAAAAUGUGAGCUCCUCCAGACCUGAUCACCAGCAACCGCAUUCCUUGACUGAUUGUUGUGACAAGCGUCCACAACUUGAUGCAACUAUGCCAGUGGAUCACACCCUGAGGACAAGGAGCUUAUUUAUAAAAAGUUAAUGGCAAUGGGCUUUCAAGAACCAUCUGAGACCAUGUGAUGACAGCCAUUAUUUUGAGACAAAAAUUUCUUAUGAGGCUAAAAUGAUAUUGAACUAAUAUGUCUAUAUCAUAGUCUUUACUCAUGCAGGUCAUUAGGCAUGACACAAGAUGAUAACAAGAUAUGGUGGUGGCUAAAAAUGAAGACUGCUUCUGCUUAAUCAAGAGAUGGUUUAGAUAACAAAGGUUAAGGGAAUUAAG
This is a long non-coding RNA of Carassius gibelio (silver crucian carp), 3841 nucleotides long. RefSeq lists it as uncharacterized. The transcript has 2 exons. The record is from RefSeq and is a predicted model, not a curated record. NCBI's taxonomy places the organism in Eukaryota, Metazoa, Chordata, Actinopteri, Cypriniformes, Cyprinidae.